RNAcentral lists this ribosomal RNA (379 nucleotides) under uncultured cyanobacterium. RNAcentral's name for it is "bacterial SSU rRNA". It matches the Rfam family "Bacterial small subunit ribosomal RNA", at positions 376 to 770 of the family's 1533-position model. The record is from RNAcentral. Lineage: Bacteria; Bacillati; Cyanobacteriota.
CGCAAGCCUGACGGAGCAACGCCGCGUGUGGGAAGAAGGCUCUUGGGCUGUAAACUACUUUUCUCAGGGAAGAAGUUCUGACGGUACCUGAGGAAUCAGCCUCGGCUAACUCCGUGCCAGCAGCCGCGGUAAUACGGAGGAGGCAAGCGUUAUCCGGAAUUACUGGGCGUAAAGCGUUCGUAGGGGGCUCGUCAAGUCUGCUGUCAAAGCUCGGAGCUCAACUCCGAAGGGGCAGUGGAAACUGGUGCGCUAGAGGGCGACAGGGGUAGAGGGAAUUCCCAGUGUAGCGGUGAAAUGCGUAGAGAUUGGGAAGAACACCGGUGGCGAAAGCGCUCUACUGGGUCGCACCUGACCCUCAGGGACGAAAGCUAAGGUAGCG